RNAcentral lists this ribosomal RNA (216 nucleotides) under uncultured fungus. Its description in RNAcentral is "partial small subunit ribosomal RNA". The stretch from base 88 to 216 matches the Rfam family "Eukaryotic small subunit ribosomal RNA", at positions 734 to 864 of the family's 1831-position model. The record is from RNAcentral. Lineage: Eukaryota; Fungi.
GGCCUGGCGGUGCGGUCUGGCCUCACGGUCAGCACUGCACGGUUGGGUCUUUCCUUCUCGAAAACCAUGGUGCUCUUAACUGGGUGCUAUGGGGAUCGAGGACUUUUACUUUGAAAAAAUUAGAGUGUUUAAAGCAGGCAUCUUGCUCGAAUACAUUAGCAUGGAAUAAUAGAAUAGGACUUUGGUUCUAUUUUGUUGGUUUCUAGGACCAAAGUA